GUCGCUAGGAUUUACGGUUUUGGUCUGCAUCAGUUGUAGGGUGAAAUAAUAAUAAUAACAAUAAAAAUAAUAAUAAUAAUCGGGUUUCUGCACUACAUGCUUGAACCUCUAAUAAUGCGCGCGCGCGCUGUGCACCACUACUCUUGGAGACAAACUGCCGAAGCUCGUGCGCAGUUGAUUGGUGUAUCUCAGUGGUUUGUUACACGCAUCAGUCUGUGUAUUUUUAUUCAUUUAUUUAUUUUUUGCCUGAUAGUUUUGAUUAGUUUUUUUCCACUGUAAAUAUUCUUCGGUUGGCAAGAAAGAGGAACGAGGUCAGAAUAUUUUCGGACAGAGUUUCUACUGUUGCUACACAACAUGACACAUCCUCCAACUGAACUGAACCUGAGCUAGCGUUGCUAACAGGAUUACAGUUUAGAUAAAGUUUUUCCUGCCCCGUUUUUGCAGUGGGAUCCUGUGUAAAUAAUAUUUUAAUAUUAUAAGGCUUAUAUUAAGAUGCUUUAUGAAUUCGCCAUGGAAGAAGAAGAAGAAGAGCGCUGCAGUUUCAAUGUAGGAGGAUGUGUUUUCUCCAUUCCUCUGAACAGACUGGCCUCCUUCCAGGACUCGUUACUACUGAAAUCAGCUUGUGUACAUGCAGACAAGUCCUCAGUUUUUCUUGAUCGUGAUGGCUGCACAUUUAGACAUGUUUCUUACUACAUAAGCACAGGAAAGCUGACUUCAGAGUCUGCACUGGAGAUGAACAUAUUACAUGAACUUGCAGCAAGUCUUCAUCUCACAGCACUGCAACAGGCUUUAGAAAAUCCGGAGACGACCGACUGCUGGAAGAUUCACCCUUCUAAAUGCAAACCAGAAUAUGAAUGCUCAUUUCAUAAGAUCAUGACACAAGGGUUGGUGUCUACGCCCCUCGUGGACAGUCAGGAGGAAGUGCUGUACUGUUUCCUCCUUCUGGAGCAUGUGCGCCUGCAUCCGGGCCUGAUCACCCACGACAAUCUGCUGUGGCUUUGUGAGGAUGUGGCUAUUAUAGAGUGUAGAAGUCACCUCUUCAGGUUCAUAGCCAAUUUCCUGCAGUCAGGGACAGUCCUACUGCCAGACUUUUUCAGCGAAUAUGCAGAGUUGUAUGGUGAAGCCAGAAUGGUGGGCGUGACCGGGUUCAUAGAGACGCUGAUGGAACUGAGUGACUGGAGCAGCUCGAGUGACUCAUGUUCUGAAUAUCAGAUGUGCUGUACAAUGGAGCCUCUCUACGUUCUGAGUUUGAGUUUGCUGGUAAGGUAUCCAGACUCCUCACUGGGUCAGCUGUGUGUAGACAGCAGUCUGGAGGGCAGUAGACUCUACAUCACAGGCUCUGGAGUGCUUUUCCAACAUGUGGAGAAAUGGUUGGGAACAUCACUUUUACCGCUGACGAGGACUAAAGAAGAGUUGCCUUGCCUAUAUGUUUACCUCAACAAUCAGGAUGGAGUUUACCUGGCCAUCAGGGAGGCCAUGCAAGAGUUCUUUUACAGGAGAGAGACCACAGGCUGUAUGACUCCGGAGUCUUGGUCUGCCUCAGUGUCAACAUUCACACUUUAUAAGAUUGUAAAUGUUUAUGCUGGAACUCGGUGGUAUGCUACAUACUUCAAAACACUUAUAAAGCAUCCAGAGCUCCUUUCUAAUUCCAACAAGAGUAAAUGGAUUGUUUUUGGAGAGAGCCUCCUGGUUAAAGGUGACGGCAAAAUCUUCCGGCACAUUCUUAACUUCCUUAGAUGUGGGCGCCUGCUGCUCCCUGCGGACUUCAGGGAAUGGCCUUUGCUGUGUCAGGAGAUUGAGGCAUUCCAGAUUCCUGCUUUGUCCAGUGCAUUGCAGAACUGCUCAGACUACAGAGCCUGGUGUAAAUCUAAGGCCCAACCGAGGAAACUUUUCACAUCAUGCACAGAUGAAGACGCCUUAGAUUCUAGUCCUGACAAGGAGGAAUCUUUAUCAAUUAAAAAGGAAAGCCCAGACAACACUCUUCUUUCCAGUAAAACACCAAGUGCACACUCAGAGAAUAAGGCUGUGUGUGUUACUGUUGGUGCUUCAGAAAUAACAGAAGUGAGACCUGCUGCUACAGAGAAGGCCGAGAGAACCGAGGGUAUCUCACUGACCUCAGUCCUAGACCACUCAACUCUAUUUUCCAACAGCUCAUGUAGUCAUGAGGAGCUAAUGAUGGAGAAUAGCAGCAAGCUUCCACCUGAUAGAGCAGCAUGCACUGGUGUCUUCGAGGAUUGCUGGAACAGAGAAAAGGCCUCCAUUAUGCACAUGCUGCAGGACAACAGGCAGAAGCAGGAUAGUCCUCUGCUGGGGCAGAUGGCAACAUUAAUGGAGACCUCACUGUCUUCGAGAAGCAUGCAGAUGUUAUUAGAAGUGUCAGAUACAGAAAAGUCUGAUCUUAUAGUUGCGCUGUUCACAGCCUUCUGUAACAACUGGCAGAGUGAUACGGGCAGCGCACAGAGAGAACACACACACUUCAAGGAGAGACUGACCCACAACACACACAUGCACAGGAAACCAAAUCAAAAUCCCAGCAGAGAUUUGAGACCAAAUAUUGUUGCAGAUCAGAUGGCCAUGCAGAAGGCAUCUUUGAAAAGCAGUGUUUUUCCCAUCACCAGCUUCACAUUACCUGUGGGUGGAUGUGUGUUAACAGUGGCUCAUCCUACAGUGCUGGGAAGAGGAGAGGCAGGGGGGUACUUUACCCACAGCAUCAUCUAUACAGAUGAACAGCCUCAAAUGGUGCAGGCUGCUGGGAAAGAGGGCAGUGAUGUUGCCUUUGCAUACUUCAACAUGUCUUAUGAAGAGAUGGUAUACGCUCGUGAGUGUCAUGCCUUCCUCACUGGUACCAUCUUAGACUCGAGCAGACUCAACGCUAAGGAGCGCACAGUCAGGCUGGUCCAUCAUCUCUGGGUGGGUCACAUGGGAGUGGACAACUUUGUGCAGGAGAUUUUGACCAUGAUUAAAGUCAGGCCUCAUAAACAAUUGGAAAAGCAAGAGAAGCUGUUGCAGUGGGUCAAGGUAAUGAUCAUUUCACGUUACCGCUGGCAAAGAGAUACACAGAGUGUGUGAAAGAGUUACUGAGGAAGACACACACAAUCAGCCUGUUUUCCACAGACCUGCUGGAAGUCACUAUACCAACACAAAAGAGGUUUUAACGGUGAUCAGUGGCCACUGAGCAGCAACCGGCUUUGACUGACCUAGGAUCAGUGAAACUCUCCUCAGUGUUUCUUGCUGACUGCUACGUGAACAUGAACACUGAUCCUGGAACAGGGCUGAGCUUCAAAAGCUGGAGCAGCUGAAAUCCAGCGAGGCAAGUGACUGGCCACAGGUCAGUUUAGACAAUCGCAACAAAGAAAUAAACAAAGAAAUAAAAACUGAAGUGAACAUUC
RNA transcript from Silurus meridionalis, 3389 nucleotides. It is a transcript of the gene named BTB/POZ domain-containing protein KCTD19-like, with no coding region annotated. The transcript has 17 exons. The record is from RefSeq and is a predicted model, not a curated record. Lineage: Eukaryota; Metazoa; Chordata; Actinopteri; Siluriformes; Siluridae.